RNAcentral lists this long non-coding RNA (1643 nucleotides) under Equus caballus (horse). RNAcentral's name for it is "lncRNA (ENSECAG00000058249.1)". The record is from RNAcentral. Lineage: Eukaryota; Metazoa; Chordata; Mammalia; Perissodactyla; Equidae.
CCAAUGGCCUGGCCAAGAAUGUUGAUGUCACAAGGAAAGGGAACAGAGUUUGAUUGUGUGUCACAUAGAACUGGGAACAGACUGCUGUACUUAGAGGGACGUCCUUAUCAAUUAGGUAAUGUCUGCUAAUGAUUGAGGAGCUGUGUUAGGCAGUGCUCCAGCUGUUGAUAUGUUAGCAAACAUCUGCAAAGGGCACUCGUACCUUGUGGGAAAAACUUUUCUUAGUCUGGAUCCCACUGGUCCAAGCCCUGAAAGACUGGCAGACCCAACAGCAUCUCACAGGGCAUCUGAAACAGAGGAACAUGGCAGAAAUGUGGACUGGGCACAGGAGGCAGCUCUGCUUGGGAUGUUGGUUCCAUCUCCAGGAGAUCAACAGCGCUAUGGGAAGAGGAAGGUGUGGCCAAGGCUCUGACAUUGCUGUGGUCUUCCAGAGAAUGGGCCAUCAGCAACAUCAUCACCACUUGCCUCCGUCUGGAGGUACUAGCAGGUCCUUUGUAGUUUGAAAAUGUCCGACAGAGCAUUACAACUAAAUCUUAAGAGGACCAUCAUACAGCGAGAGACAUUUUCUUCCUGUGCAUCCAAGCAAGAAGGCCUGUUUCACAGUCUUUUAAGCUGAUUCCUGAGUCUCCUACACACGCCUGAAUCAGAUGUGUGGGUGUUUCUGUGUCUGGUGUACCUAGAACAGGGCCAAUGGGAGGAAGUGACGCGCUACUGAACCUGUACUAACCGCAGGGAUUGGUUUGAAUAUUUAGAGUUACUUGAGACCUGAGGGUUAACAAUGUGCUAGGAAGAGACUGGCUUAUGAUUCAUUAUUUCAACCCUAAAAGGUUACACCUUAUUACAUUCAGAAGCACAACUUCACUAUGUUCAAUUUUAAUCUCUAUUCUUUGAGACUCUGCUCUUUGCCUUUCAGAUCUUGAUACAACCAACGAUCAAAAUAAUGGAAUUUCAGCCUGGAUGGGUUACACUAGCAACACCAGGGAGACAGAAGUGUCAGGAAAACAAAGACAGGAAAGGCUUGUAUACUGAUGGAUGCCCUCUUGUCCCACUCUGCUACCCUAUUUCUUUGGCAUCAGGGAGAGCCCUCCAUUGCCAUAGCCCAGUGGAUCUCAUCUGCCAUGGCUCAGUGAUAGGAGGACACUGUAUUUACCCUGCUGUGUUAUCUAUAUCCAGUGCCUUCUAUCCACUUUACAUUCUCUCUAUAGGUUUUCUAGGAGAAAAGAGAAAUCCAUUCUAUCAUGGAAGAGUGAGAGAUGGGAGAGAGGGAGAGGAAAGGGACAUGAUGGGCAUGGUAGGAUGGGAGGGACAAGAGGAGGGAGCCAGGAAAGCUACAAAGAGAAAGUGUUGUCGAUCUGUAUCUUGAUGAAUAAGCAGCAGUUAUAGCUGAACAAUAAGAUUAUGGCUUUUCUCUCUCAUUAUUUUUCUGUUUUCUACCAUUCAUUCUUUGAAUCACUCAUUCAGCAGAUACUCAUGGAGGUGCUAGCUUUGUGCCAGGUCUUGUUCUGGGUGUUGAGGAUACCAAGGGAAGUGAACCACACCUGAGGCAUAAGGAAAAAAAAAUCACUGAAGACCCAAGAAGCAGAGCAAGUGCAGUAAGUGAAAGGGAUGGCAGAAGAAAUCACAUUUCCUGGCUCCAAGGGCAG